CGCGUAGGUGGUUGGGGAAGCGUGUGGUGAAAGCCCGGGGCUCAACCCCGGGUCGGCCAUGCGAACUGCCCGACUGGAGCACGGUAGAGGCCAAUGGAAUUCCGGGUGUAGCGGUGGAAUGCGUAGAGAUCCGGAAGAACACCGGUGGCGAAGGCGGUUGGCUGGGCCGUGGCUGACACUGAGGCGCGACAGCGUGGGGAGCAAACAGGAUUAGAUACCCUGGUAGUCCACGCCGUAAACGAUGGGCACUAGGUCCUUGGGGGAGCGACCCCGUGAGGGCCGGCGCUAACGCAUUAAGUGCCCCGCCUGGGGAGUACGGCCGCAAGGCUGAA
RNAcentral lists this ribosomal RNA (332 nucleotides) under uncultured Gemmatimonas sp. Its description in RNAcentral is "bacterial SSU rRNA". It matches the Rfam family "Bacterial small subunit ribosomal RNA", at positions 568 to 898 of the family's 1533-position model. Lineage: Bacteria; Pseudomonadati; Gemmatimonadota; Gemmatimonadia; Gemmatimonadales; Gemmatimonadaceae. The record is from RNAcentral.